RNAcentral lists this non-coding RNA (527 nucleotides) under Pongo abelii (Sumatran orangutan). The record is from RNAcentral. Lineage: Eukaryota; Metazoa; Chordata; Mammalia; Primates; Hominidae.
GGGGAGCCGAGGCCCGGCGUGGGGAGGCCGGCAGGAAGGGCCUCGAGCCCAGUGCGGACCUUUCUUCAGCCUCUGUGCGGCCGAGCCGCGCGCCAGGCUGCUGUGCGAGGAGGACGCGCUGACUUCCUCCGACAUGGGCUCUGAUAGAGCAGAAAUAGCGGGACCUGGACUUGUGGCGCGCCUGGUGCCUGGUGCCACAUCUCGGGCUCUGCGAGCCUCCUGGCGCGGGAUCCUGCCUAAUGUCUUACAAUAACAGAAUGCAGGAGAGCACAUAUCAAUGAAGAAAAGACAAAAUGUAUUUAUCCAUGAAGCUGAGGUUAAGAAACCAGUGUCUUCAAGAGCCGGGGACAGCACUGGGUCUGUGCAGAGUUGAGAGAUGGUGAUGACAUGUGGUUUCCAGCAUUUCUGGCCCAGUCUGGGAUUCUACUCCUUUGUAGUGGUUUCCAGCAUUCCUGGCCCAGUCCAGGGACACUGUGGGUGUGCCCAGCUUAAGUCCAGUAACUGGAAAUACAAGCCCAAGUUCUGGA